Molecule: small nuclear RNA, 194 nt
Filed under: Naegleria gruberi
Lineage: Eukaryota; Heterolobosea; Eutetramitea; Acrasida; Naegleriidae
Description: U2 spliceosomal RNA
Rfam family: U2 spliceosomal RNA
About the family: U2 is a small nuclear RNA (snRNA) component of the spliceosome (involved in pre-mRNA splicing). Complementary binding between U2 snRNA (in an area lying towards the 5' end but 3' to hairpin I) and the branchpoint sequence (BPS) of the intron results the bulging out of an unpaired adenosine, on the BPS, which initiates a nucleophilic attack at the intronic 5' splice site, thus starting the first of two transesterification reactions that mediate splicing.
Source: Rfam by way of RNAcentral
ACAUCUUUCUCGGCCAAUUGGGUUUGAUCGAGUGUAGUAUCUUUUCUUUUCAGUGUAAUAGCUGAAACCAGCCCACCACGGGUUGCCAUUACUAUUAACUCAAUUUUUUGUAGGGUCCAGAGUUGUGCUUAAUUGCACACAUUGGUUGGCUUCAAUCAGAUAUUGCACUGAUAGUCAGAUUUAGAGCUAUCCCA